RNAcentral lists this transfer RNA (74 nucleotides) under Candidatus Woesearchaeota archaeon. RNAcentral's name for it is "tRNA-Pro". It matches the Rfam family "tRNA". Rfam says of the family: Transfer RNA (tRNA) molecules are approximately 80 nucleotides in length. Their secondary structure includes four short double-helical elements and three loops (D, anti-codon, and T loops). The record is from RNAcentral. Lineage: Archaea; Nanobdellati; Candidatus Woesearchaeota.
GGGGCUAUGGGGUAGCUUGGCAAUCCUCUCUGGUUUGGGGCCAGAUGACCCCGGUUCGAAUCCGGGUAGCCCCA